UUUAAAAGCACUGCUUUAGGGAAACACAAAAAUAUUAAGAAUAUUAAAAUACUGAGGUAAUGAUAGUAGAAGAAAAUUAAAUAACUAAUGUGGAGCCAUAAGAAUAAUAAUCAAGAAAACCUUCUCUGGCACCAAUUAGUUGGUGAAAUAAUUAUAUUAUCUCUCUGGAGAAUAAGAAAUAUUUGAUGUUAAAGAAUCUAUCUGAGCUAUUUUGAAUUUAGAAAUAAAUAUUAAUACUUUUAACAUUAUUUUUCUCCAUUAUAAAUGAAGAGAGUACAGCUAUAGUCACAUACAUUUCUCCAUGCUUCAGGAUUUGUUUUUUCUGUAAUUGUUUUUUUCUUUUGUAACUGCUUGGUUAAAACUUUGGGCAUUUUCUUUUUCUUUUUUUUUUUUAUUAGUUGUUCAAAACAUUACAAAGCUCUUGGCAUAUCAUGUUUCAUACAUGUGAUUCAAGCAGAUUAUGAAAUGCCAUUUUUACCCCGUAUACAGAUUGCAGAUUCACAUCGGUUACACAUCCACUUUUUUACAUACAGCCAUACUAGUGUCUGUUGUAUGCUGCUACCUUUCCUAUCCUCUACUAUCCCCCCUCACCUCCCUUCCCCUCCACUCCCAUCUUCUCUCUCUACCCCAUCUACUGUAAUUCAUUUCUCUCUCUUGUUUUUUCCCCUUUACCCUCACUUCCUCUUAUAUGUAAUUUUGUAUAACAAUGAGCGUCUCCUUACUUUACCAUGCAAUUUCCCUUCUCUCUCUCUUUCCCUCCCCCUCUUGUCCCUGUUUAAUGGUG
This 784-nucleotide long non-coding RNA is filed under the name Marmota monax (woodchuck). Lineage: Eukaryota; Metazoa; Chordata; Mammalia; Rodentia; Sciuridae. The record is from RNAcentral.